UAAUGGGGAACCCCUAGAGGAAGAAAAGGUUGAGCAGACCCUUCUACAGCUAAGAAGUUUAAAGAAAACUGUAAACAAUCUAUGGAGGUAGGGUAUUUGAAACUUUGGUGUAUGAUCUUUUUCUUCUUUAACUCUCUUUUGUUCCAAAGAGGUAGGGUCUUUGAAGCUUGCUUUGAUGUUUGGCCUUGAUGGCUUUGCUUAUCUUUGUCUAAUGUAUUUUGAAAGACAAGUUUGGGUCUGAAUGGUGCUUUUGAGUGAUGGUACUUUUAUUUGGAUGCGGUACUUUACCUUUAUUAUUUAAGGCUGCAAUUCGAUUUAAGGUUGAGAUUGUAUCACCUGCAAAAUGGGAAAGGUCACAUUCUACUCUAUCUUGCCUCCUUGGAAAAGGUAUACAAAUAGCAUUCCCUCCUGAGUUAAUAAUGACUAUGUUGUCUGAAGCUUUGGCUUGAGCAGUAGAUUUUGUAUAGAGAUGCAAGCAGAAGCAGAACGCAAAAAGAGAGCUCAAGUUCUUGACUCUGAAGGAGAAAGACAAAGCCAACAUCAAUGUUGCUGAUGGAAAGAAGAGUUCUAUAAUCUUACAAUCUGAAGCUGCAAAGAUGGAUAAAAUUAACAUGGCCCAAGGUUAUUUAUCAUGUCAAUAAAGAUUAAUUCCCACAGUAUGGAAGUAAUGUUUUUCUUCCAUCCUAAUAUUAGUACUAAAAUCUGUUUUGAUAAGUAAGUUAUUACUGAUAUCUUUAGAACAUAUAUGCUAUUUUGGACAUGCAUUUAAUUUUAGCAUGGACUAGGAUAGAAUUCAUAAUCAAUACAAGCUUUGGUCUGUAUUAUAAUGUUUUUGUUGGAGUGGUUGCCACAAGAAAUCUAGGCCGUGUAUUGGAUUUUGAAAGGAACUUAUGUAUAUGUUAAGCCAGGUCUCACUAAAGGGGGCUUGUUCAUGUUCUCUUGUAUGGUAUGUGAAUAUCAACUCGAGAAGUCUUAUGCUGAA
Long non-coding RNA from Juglans microcarpa x Juglans regia, 982 nucleotides. RefSeq lists it as uncharacterized. The transcript has 2 exons. The record is from RefSeq and is a predicted model, not a curated record. NCBI's taxonomy places the organism in Eukaryota, Viridiplantae, Streptophyta, Magnoliopsida, Fagales, Juglandaceae.